UUUUAUUUGAGAGUUUGAUCCUGGCUCAGGAUGAACGCUGGCGGCGUGCCUAACACAUGCAAGUUGAGCGAUUUACUUCGGUAAAGAGCGGCGGACGGGUGAGUAACGCGUGGGUAACCUACCCUGUACACACGGAUAACAUACCGAAAGGUAUGCUAAUACGGGAUAAUAUAUUUGAGAGGCAUCUCUUAAAUAUCAAAGGUGAGCCAGUACAGGAUGGACCCGCGUCUGAUUAGUUAGUUGGUAAGGUAACGGCUUACCAAGGCGACGAUCAGUAGCCGACCUGAGAGGGUGAUCGGCCACAUUGGAACUGAGACACGGUCCAAACUCCUACGGGAGGCAGCAGUGGGGAAUAUUGCACAAUGGGCGAAAGCCUGAUGCAGCAACGCCGCGUGAGUGAUGAAGGCCUUCGGGUCGUAAAACUCUGUCCUCAAGGAAGAUAAUGACGGUACUUGAGGAGGAAGCCCCGGCUAACUACGUGCCAGCAGCCGCGGUAAUACGUAGGGGGCUAGCGUUAUCCG
RNAcentral lists this ribosomal RNA (521 nucleotides) under Clostridioides difficile. RNAcentral's name for it is "bacterial SSU rRNA". It matches the Rfam family "Bacterial small subunit ribosomal RNA", at positions 1 to 547 of the family's 1533-position model. Lineage: Bacteria; Bacillati; Bacillota; Clostridia; Peptostreptococcales; Peptostreptococcaceae. The record is from RNAcentral.